GCCGGGAUGCAGCCAAAGCUGUUUGUCAAGGUGGCAUCAGAUGAUCAUGUCAUUGGACGGAGGAUCAGCAUGCAGCAGCCUGCUCCAAUCAACCAUCCCCACUAUGCUUCGACAAUCAACGUGCAGCUCUGCAGGCGAAGGUCAGUACGCGUGAUGCUAUAUUUGGUAACUAUUAUCUGCAUAAUGCACCACACUAACAAAACAAAACCACCUGCAACAUGUCUUGUGAUCGAGAAGGGUUUGAACGCAUGCGUGCAUGGCUCUGAACAAUAGCCAGGGGUAGCCCCAUGCAUGCAUGCAUGGGCUGGCCAGACAGACAGGAUUCUCUAGCUAAAGGUACGGUUCCAUGCACGCCCGUGCACAACCACUCCACCUCGCCCCACCCCUGCACGCCCCUAGUGACCAGAAUUCAAAGGGACUGUUCCCUCCUACAGUGCAAGUGUAACCUUGAAUCUGUACCACAAGGACCCAUCAGCUCAGCCAGCACAAUGUAUUUCCUAGCUUCCCUCCCACACAGCCAUGCAUAGCCCAUAGAUAUGUAUGCAUCAUCAGCUUUCACAAAUGUUCACAGGCUAGCUAGUUGGUACUUUUUCAUGAAUGCAUAUCACCUUCCUUUUUCUUUUUUUCUUUUUUAUAAAAACUAAUGUACUUGUAGAUUGAAGGGAGUCUUGUUUCAACUUAGUAUUAAGCUUCAGGAUUAGCUCAAACUUUCACAACUCUCUUUUCUUUUAUUUUCUUUUCUUUUAAAAAAUAAGCUACUUGUAGAUAUAUUGAAGGGACUCUUGUCCCAACUUAUUAAGCUUCAUUCAGGAUUAGCUCAAACUGUCAGAAAUUCGAGCAUUUUAACCUAUUAAGUAUAUGGAUAGAGUCAUUUUUUUAUAAAAAAAGAAAUUAAGAUUAUUUUUUCUCAAAAUAAAGCCGGAGUCCUCCACCCUAUUUCUUUUCGAAGGAUCGGGACUGAAUCAUAAAAAAACCGAACCACAGAUUUUCAAAAAAAAAAAAGGCGAGUCAUCCCAAACAUGCCUAUGGGCUAUGGCAUGGGCUACGGUCUGGCAAGCUACAGACAACUACUAGCUGCUGUUUCCACUGAAAGAUUUGCGAUUUUGUUGGCGACGACUGACGAGCGUGAGUUUUUAGCACUUGGAUGCAAGUUGCUAGAGGAUGCAGCUCAAAAGGACAGGCAGGGCAUGCUAGGUCGUGAACCUGGGAAAGGCUGCAGCCAUGCAUGCAUAUGCAGACACGAAGCGUAGGGACUAGCUAGCCCUAGCUUAGCUCGGUACCCUCCUCCUCUCUUCUCGAUCGGCCCCCUCGCUCCCUUAGCUAGGUCCAACGAUUUGAUGUCUGUGGAUUUCAGGAUCGAAUUAAUGUUGGUGUACUAGGAUAGUGGCUUGCACACGAGAUCUUGUGUGUUCUUAUGGGGGGAUCUUAGGAAGAUCUGUUGGCCUUUUGUAAGUUGCCAUUUUUUCCUUAAUAAUUAUCUUUACGGCCGCAAAGAUUUAGUUGGUGCUGAUGGGUAUGCUAGCUGUCAACCUUUCUUCAAUCAAACUUCCCUUAAACUUAUUGUGUCGCAAAAAGGGGAAAAACAUGAAAAGAAACCACAUCCCCAAAUAAAAGGAUUAGCAUGCCUCUAUUCUUAGACAUGUUUUCCUUACGUUCACUUUAUUUUAGUUCUACUACUUUAGAGUCCUUCGGAACACAUAAAUAAACGUAUCUAGGUUCUAAUGUCAAAUUCGGUGUUUGGUCACAUUGCAAGCAUGUGAUUGUUAUUGAUGACCCCGAAGUUGAUUUUAAGUAUCGACACAAGGAUAUUAAUGAAAAUUAAGGAUACUAUAGGGUUCAUGUGCAAACUAGGUGUUCAAGGGGUCUAUGUUUUAUCUUUUGCCUUACUAUUAAGGGGGUCCAACAUUUGUAGCUUGAUGGGAGUUAAAUUGAGGGCAUUUGGAUGCACACACAUGUGGUACAUUUUCCAAGUCAGCUCAAUAGUGGUCUCAUUGGAUAGGUUUUUAAACCGAAGAUCUCAAAAAAGUUGAAUUAGACGAGAUCAGAUUUAGAGCUAAAAAAUAUACACCCGAAAAUGCACCACAUGAUUGAAACUUGCCCGGCGGGUCAUCUUGUGGCACCGUGCAUACUUCAUAUUUAACUUUGGCGUGAUAGUCACUGUACAAUCUACUAUGUCUUGGUGGCACUCGGUGGAUCAUCCAUUGAAGCUAUGUUUUGACUGUGUGUCAAGUGGCCAUGAUACUAGACUUCAUCGUAAGAUUCGUUGUGCCUAGGUGACACACUCGAUGUGGAGUAGUAACUUGACUGCGUGUCAAGUGGUGAGUUAACUUGACUGUGUGUCAAGUGGAGUGACUAACAUGUGUCAUAUGAUCCUGCGGUGCCUAUGUAGACUACAACAGACCAUUGAGUGGAGCAUAUUCCUUUCUAACCAUUGUAAAACAUGGUUGAAUAGGAUCAUUGUAUGGUCUUGUGUGCCUAUGUAGCUCCCGACGGAUCAUUCAGUGGUAUCUAUGUCUACGGACUUAUGCUAACAACUAGUAGGUUCUUCACACCUUAUGUAUGUGUGCUCACUAGCUCAUUUUGAGCUUCUGUUUGACUCAUGUGUGUGACACACGUAUAGAGGGAGUUUGUGAAAGGUUUGAGUGCCAUUCAAGGCAAAAUUGCUAGUUGAGAUUGUGUGCUUAUUGCACAUUUUGAGUUAUUGGCUUGAUUUUCAUCUAGUGAAGGUUGAAGACUUUUCCCAACAUCUAGAGGAUCUGGCAUGGACUAUCUAGGUGACCUUCUCAUUUGAGCUGCUUGUCGGGAGGCUCAUAUUGGUGUGCUUGGUUUCAAAACCCUCGAUAUGGAGAAGAGAAGAGGUAUUCACUAUCGAUACUUGAGUCUUGGUGAGUCAAAAGAGAAUAGAUGAGUCUUAGUGACUCUCUAGUGCUACAAUGUGGAUUAGGGGUAGUGGCAAUGGCUAUUUGAGAUCGUGGGAAAGAAAUUAUAUAGGUUCCAUGUUGUCCUCUUUUCAUUUUUGCAUUACUUCGAUGACUUAACUUCGCAAUUCGCCUCUACGUCAUUGUGCCACCACUAUCGCUACCAUGUCAUCGUUCAUCCACACUGCCUAAGACCUCGCACAUUCACCAUAAAGUAAGGCUACUAUAGCCCUACCCCUAGCCACCACUCCGCAUGAUGCACAUUUGCACCCAAACGCUCAUUGACUACACCACAACCACAUGCACAACAAAGCAACACCUUCACACAACCAUUGCAUCGCCCGCCAUUGUAGCCACACCAACUACGCCAUCGGGCCUUCAUCUGACCUAAGUGCCACCCUUGUUGCCCCCCGUGCCAGCCGCCCUAGACCAACAUGCAAGAGGAACUGCCACACCUUAGAGCGAAAUGCCUCCACAUUGCCAUGUAGUCGUGACACCUCAUCGCCUCCCAUUGUCCUGCAGCGGUUCCCCCACUCCAAGCUAUCACAAGCCAUGUCAAUGUAGAUCUAGCCCUAGGAGUUUUGGACUGCCAAUGGAGCCAUGAGACCUAGAGGUCGUAUUCACCGCAAGGUGAAGUGCCAUGGUGGGCAAAGACAUGACGAUAGUACUGACGAGCUUGGGGUGGAAAGAAAGGAAGAGAAGGCCCCACUGUCACCUUACUUGUGACCCCACGGAGCACCGGGGAUGUACUCCAACAACGGCGAGGAGCGGCGGAGAAGGGAAUUCACGGUAGGCUGGAGAAGGAAUUCACGGUGGGCCGAAUAACUGGAUUUUGUGAAGGGUCAAAGGGGGCGGUUGUGCUGUAGCACGACAAACUGUGAUGUGGCUACAAUCAACUUUAUUAAAAUCAUAAUGCCAUAGCCUUCUCAUGCGUCGCCGUCAAGUGAUGCCCCUUGCGUGCCGGCAGGACCAAGGGUCCGGGGCAACAAGCCAGGUGCGGCAGUGGCCAACCCACGACGAUGUAGGCCGGGCAUAGUAGUGGAGGUAUAGUAGUGAAUGAAGGUAUGGCCGGGGCUGAGCUUGGCAGGGUGCUGUAUAAUAAGCUGAAGUCCGUGUUCCACAUUGGCGCCAGAACUUGUUAGUCCUAGAACUAGAAUAGUAUGAUAUUUCAUCUUUAUUAUUCGUAGCAAAAGCACAAUCUAGUAUUAUUAUAUUAUAUAUAAUAGCACUAGCACAUAACAGCCUUUUAUGCAUGGCUUCCAAAGAGAGGAGAUGAUGGCAAAUCUUGCUUGUUUAUUUGGUUACACACUUACACGGCAUGCAUGGCUGGGGCCUUUUUCAUUCCAUGCAUAUGUAUGUCAUGCGGCAUCAUUGUACAUGUUGAUUUCAACAAAACUAAUGGCGGCCUAGCUAGGCAAUGGUGGGGCCACCCUCGUCUUAGGCCUUCCUGUUACCACGUACUAGUACUGUAAAGAGAGUUUAGUGUGUGAGGCUAUACUUGUCUGUUCUUGCCUUCUUGGAGACCGUGAGGUCGCGCUCUUUCUUGAUGAGCUUUUACAUGUUUGCUCUGUUGACUACUCGAGAAUUGACUUGGCUUUUCCCUUUAGGAAAGUUUAAAUUGACUCACAGCUAUGUAAUUCUGGUUCAGCCAGAGACACUAUUGUGUUACAGUGGCAGUUAGUUACUGUAUUUUAGUAGCUGUCCAGUUUCAAAUAAUAGUAAUAUCAAAUUAGUAACGAUCCAUCUUAUAUACACGGUAUGCACCAUACUAAUUUCUUUUAAGCUGAAAGAUGACACUUUUUUUUUGCUUUUUUUUUAAAAAAAACAAAGAGCUGCCUGGGGUAUGAACCCACUGUACUGUCACUUGGUCUCAGUGAUCUGCAUGAUUGUUGGCCAGACUGGACUGUGGAUGCCUUUUGCAACUUUUUUAGUUUUGAAAACUUUGCUGCAACUAGCUAGUAAUUACGUUGUGUUGAGAUGCAUGUAUGUAGACCAUGAUGAUACUAAUUAUAUAUAAGCUUCAGCUACGUACCUAUAAAUGACAAAGAUGACAAAAUCUAAGUGAAAGCUAUCAUGCUGUAACAGUGGCCAUCAUUGAAGGCCACAUGUACUUCUAAUUAUUUUAUGGGGCCUGUUCUCGUCGACUUGCUUUGCAAAGAAUCUGUUACAUGACUGGUUACAAAUGAGGGAUUGAUCUAACCUCCUGCUAUCUACCUUCAUCAGUUAACUGUGUGAAGGGCCAGUCCGUGUUUGGAUCAUCAUCAGUUGAUUCCUUAGGACAUCGAUCGGUACAAUUUUCUCUAUUUUAUCAGCAAUAACUGUCAUGAGAUUUUUUCCUUACGUACUGUAUGGGUGGAAACAUUGACGUAGCAUGUCAUGUGCAUAAUUUUUUGUUUCCUACUAUAUACUCCCUCCGUUCCAAUUUAUAAAACAUUUUAGUUUUCUAGAUUCGUGACUUUUGCUAUGCACUUAAUUAGAUAUACACCAUACUCCCUCCAUUAUCAUUUUGUUUUUUGAGUUAGGUGCAGUACAUACAGUACCAUUAUUAUUAGAACCAGUGAAUCC
RNAcentral lists this long non-coding RNA (5483 nucleotides) under Sorghum bicolor (sorghum). RNAcentral describes it as "long non-coding RNA (SBIC_LNC004052)". The record is from RNAcentral. Lineage: Eukaryota; Viridiplantae; Streptophyta; Magnoliopsida; Poales; Poaceae.